GUAGGUGGCAAGCGUUGUCCGGGAAUUAUUGGGGCGUAAAGCGCGCGCAGGCGGUUCUUUAAGGUCCGAUGUGAAAGCCCACGGGCUCAACCGUGGAGGGUCAUUGGAAACUGGAGAACUUGAGUACAGAAGAGGAAAGCGGAAUUCCACGUGUAGCGGUGAAAUGCGUAGAGAUGUGGAGGAACACCAGUGGCGAAGGCGGCUUUCUGGUCUGUAACUGACGCUGAGGCGCGAAAGCGUGGGGAGCAAACAGGAUUAGAUACCCUGGUAGUCCACGCCGUAAACGAUGAGUGCUAAGUGUUAGGGGGUUUCCGCCCCUUAGUGCUGCAGCUAACGCAUUAAGCACUCCGCCUGGGGAGUACGGCCGCAAAGGCUGA
RNAcentral lists this ribosomal RNA (377 nucleotides) under uncultured organism. RNAcentral's name for it is "partial 16S ribosomal RNA". It matches the Rfam family "Bacterial small subunit ribosomal RNA", at positions 527 to 897 of the family's 1533-position model. The record is from RNAcentral.